UAGGAUUGUGUGAGGAAGCUCA
Molecule: microRNA, 22 nt
Filed under: Oreochromis niloticus (Nile tilapia)
Lineage: Eukaryota; Metazoa; Chordata; Actinopteri; Cichliformes; Cichlidae
Description: oni-miR-10687
Source: miRBase by way of RNAcentral